This is a long non-coding RNA of Seriola aureovittata, 989 nucleotides long. RefSeq lists it as uncharacterized. The transcript has 5 exons. Lineage: Eukaryota; Metazoa; Chordata; Actinopteri; Carangiformes; Carangidae. The record is from RefSeq and is a predicted model, not a curated record.
UGUCUCUGGGAAUGAGAAGAAGAUUAAAGCAAUGGAAGACAGAGGAAAGGAACAAAAUAAGUGUCAUAUUAAUAUUAAUGUUGUCACAUCUAAGUAACCACUGGUUGAUUUCUGUGUUGUGCUCUCUCGUGUAGGAAGUGAAGACGCAGACCUGUAGAUGAAUCAAACCUUCAGGUUUCUCUGGUACUAAUGAAGUAUUGACCACUGAUCAGCUCUCGAGGCUGCAGGCCAUAAACUGAUUGACAGAUUCAUCCUAACUGUGAUUAUUCAAACAUCUCUCUGUUGACUAGUGACCGGUUGACGGGUUUACCCUUGUUUGGUGCAAAAGGUCAUGACAAGUGGUUCGGUUACUCCGGAAACCUGGCUCCUGUCCACCAAUCAGGGGCGGCAGUUCCAGCCCUCCCAGGAUGUUCGUUUCAUCCCAGAAAACAGCCCUGGGAGCAGUUAGGAGAAGAUAAACAUCAGAGUGGUGCAGUUCAUCCUGCAUUCAGCUAUGUGAAGAUAUUUCUCUGAGGUUCUUGAUGGGAGCUGCACAAAACAUUCAGACAUCUGUCAGUUCACUGACAUUCAGAUCAAGAAUCCUGGUGUAGCUGGUGGCUGAUUUGAGGCGGCCAGCUGAGAGGCAGACUCCCUCUGUCGUCAUGACGACGGGAGGCGAGGACAAUGGCAUCCUGUGUGUUCACCCUGGCUGGGCGGCGACGGUGAUGACGACACGAUGGCGAGAGACAAAACAGCUGAGAGUUGUCCUGAGCGUGACGCGGCAAAUAAACUGUCAUCAGAGGAGGAGAAGCCAUUUUUUUAAUUCUGGUGUUUCUUUGUGAUUUGAGCAAAUAAGACUAAUUCAAAAUAAAAAAUAGAAUAAAUAAAUGAUGUUCUUGCAUUGACUUGUCAGCUGCUUUCUGUCGCCGCCGGAGGGAGAUUCGGUCGUUUGCUGCACUGACUGUAACAUGUUGUGUUGAGUCUGAACUGUACAAACAAUGGCAGCUGUG